This 72-nucleotide transfer RNA is filed under the name Roseibacillus sp. RNAcentral describes it as "tRNA-Gln". It matches the Rfam family "tRNA". Rfam says of the family: Transfer RNA (tRNA) molecules are approximately 80 nucleotides in length. Lineage: Bacteria; Pseudomonadati; Verrucomicrobiota; Verrucomicrobiia; Verrucomicrobiales; Verrucomicrobiaceae. RNAcentral also lists the same sequence under 2 other names. The record is from RNAcentral.
AGCCCUAUAGUGUAAUUGGUAACACACCGGAUUUUGAUUCCGUAUUUCCAGGUUCGAGUCCUGGUAGGGCUA